GACGAACGCUGGCGGCGUGCCUAAUACAUGCAAGUCGAGCGCAGGAAAUCGACGGAACCCUUCGGGGGGAAGUCGACGGAAUGAGCGGCGGACGGGUGAGUAACACGUAAAGAACCUGCCCUCAGGUCUGGGAUAACCACGAGAAAUCGGGGCUAAUACCGGAUGGGUCAUCGGACCGCAUGGUCCGAGGAUGAAAGGCGCUUCGGCGUCGCCUGGGGAUGGCUUUGCGGUGCAUUAGCUAGUUGGUGGGGUAAUGGCCCACCAAGGCGACGAUGCAUAGCCGACCUGAGAGGGUGAGCGGCCACACUGGGACUGAGACACGGCCCAGACUCCUACGGGAGGCAGCAGUAGGGAAUCUUCCACAAUGGACGAAAGUCUGAUGGAGCAACGCCGCGUGAUCGAUGAAGGCCUUCGGGUCGUAAAGUUCUGUUGUAAGGGAAGAACAAGUGCCGCAGGCAAUGGCGGCACCUUGACGGUACCUUGCGAGAAAGCCACGGCUAACUACGUGCCAGCCGCCGCUGUAA
RNAcentral lists this ribosomal RNA (524 nucleotides) under uncultured bacterium. RNAcentral describes it as "partial 16S ribosomal RNA". It matches the Rfam family "Bacterial small subunit ribosomal RNA", at positions 28 to 523 of the family's 1533-position model. The record is from RNAcentral.